Molecule: ribosomal RNA, 780 nt
Filed under: Streptomyces bungoensis
Lineage: Bacteria; Bacillati; Actinomycetota; Actinomycetes; Kitasatosporales; Streptomycetaceae
Description: bacterial SSU rRNA
Rfam family: Bacterial small subunit ribosomal RNA
Source: RNAcentral
GGGGGGGCGUCUUACACAUGCAAGUCGAACGAUGGAACCACUUCGGUGGGGAUUAGUGGCGAACGGGUGAGUAACACGUGGGCAAUCUGCCCUUCACUCUGGGACAAGCCCUGGAAACGGGGUCUAAUACCGGAUAUCACUCCUGCAGGCAUCUGCGGGGGUCGAAAGCUCCGGCGGUGAAGGAUGAGCCCGCGGCCUAUCAGCUUGUUGGUGAGGUAAUGGCUCACCAAGGCGACGACGGGUAGCCGGCCUGAGAGGGCGACCGGCCACACUGGGACUGAGACACGGCCCAGACUCCUACGGGAGGCAGCAGUGGGGAAUAUUGCACAAUGGGCGAAAGCCUGAUGCAGCGACGCCGCGUGAGGGAUGACGGCCUUCGGGUUGUAAACCUCUUUCAGCAGGGAAGAAGCGAAAGUGACGGUACCUGCAGAAGAAGCGCCGGCUAACUACGUGCCAGCAGCCGCGGUAAUACGUAGGGCGCAAGCGUUGUCCGGAAUUAUUGGGCGUAAAGAGCUCGUAGGCGGCUUGUCACGUCGGGUGUGAAAGCCCGGGGCUUAACCCCGGGUCUGCAUUCGAUACGGGCAGGCUAGAGUGUGGUAGGGGAGAUCGGAAUUCCUGGUGUAGCGGUGAAAUGCGCAGAUAUCAGGAGGAACACCGGUGGCGAAGGCGGAUCUCUGGGCCAUUACUGACGCUGAGGAGCGAAAGCGUGGGGAGCGAACAGGAUUAGAUACCCUGGUAGUCCACGCCGUAAACGGUGGGAACUAGGUGUUGGCGACAUUC